This 606-nucleotide long non-coding RNA is filed under the name Brassica rapa (field mustard). RNAcentral's name for it is "long non-coding RNA (BRAP_LNC008624)". Lineage: Eukaryota; Viridiplantae; Streptophyta; Magnoliopsida; Brassicales; Brassicaceae. The record is from RNAcentral.
AAACACAGAGAAAAGACAGAGAGUUGGCCGGAUUCCCAAUCCAAGACCUAUGGUGGUGUGAAGGUCAUAAAGAGGCAGUUUUGGGAGAGAUCAAGGGGGAAGUUAUGAACGACUUUCUUGUGGUUUUGAUCCGUGAUGUUAUCACCCAAAGCAUCCUACAGGGCCUGAGAACACACGCAAAUGGUGAGGAAAGAAGGUAGAUGACCGGAAUUCAUUCCCAAAGGCCAAGACAGCCUUAAGGAGAGAGGUGUGUGGGAGGGUAGUUUCAUCGAAGUGCAAGGGGAGUUAUGAACGACCCUGUGGUAGGUUUUCACCACGGAUUAACACGUCCUAGGCUUCCCCCGUAUCUUGGGAACACACGCAAAUACCCAGGAGAAAAGGGAGAAGGCCGGACUUCCCUAACAAUGGCAUGAAUAGCCUUGAAGGUGGAUGCAGUGUAGAAACUGGUUUCAUGGAAGUUCCAUGGAAGGGAUCAGGGGUGCGACCCAUGAAUGGAUCUUAUCAAUAUAUGAGAUAUGUGAUAAGGAUUGAUAGAGGCGUGCACUGGAGGAGCAUGGCCGAACAUAAUAAGGAAAGGCACUUGAUCUAAUCAGAUCAUGUAUAAGG